Phasianus colchicus (ring-necked pheasant) is the source of this 814-nucleotide long non-coding RNA. RefSeq lists it as uncharacterized. Lineage: Eukaryota; Metazoa; Chordata; Aves; Galliformes; Phasianidae. The record is from RefSeq and is a predicted model, not a curated record.
CAAAACCGCCCUGCAGGCACCCACCUUCUCGAACGUCUCCUUGAUCUGCUUGAUGGCUUUGCCCCUCUUCUCGCAGGUGAAGAAGUGGUGCUGCAGAGGUGAGAGGCAGUGGGUUAACUCAGUGCUGUUCCUUCCUGCUGCUCCUGGGGUGACUCAGCCCAUGCAGGCUGCGUGGUCGCAGCAGUUCCAGCAGUGGGGAUGCCAAUGCACACAGGUAUAGAGAAGGGCAAGGAGAAAUGCCACCCCAAUGGGGUUUUGCUCGUUCUAAUUGCUCUGCCCCCCUGGCUCCUGGCCCUAUCUCCCUGCCCCAGGAAGACACAGGGACCAUCCCUGCAGUACAGAGCCCACUCACACAACGUCUCAUCGUCAUCUUCAGGCUCAGCAGCAUGUCGCCCAGCUGCACGCAGUGUAAGCCAGUUGCGUCCAUUCCACAAAGGAAACUGCCCUGCACACGCACGAUGCUCGCUGUGUUUACCUGUGUUUCCUUCGCCAUGGCAGAGAUUUUGACGGUGCAGUUUCGCUCUGACUCACCACUGCUUACUGCUGUGGAAACGCAUUGACUCUGCAGUACUACGAAGCUGUUGCAUGAAUGAAUAAAGCACCUUUCCUAAAGAGUGUCCGAGGACGUGGGUGUAUAUCUAAACCUUUAGGAAACAGCUUUCAUGAUUGCCAAGAAGAUCAUUUCAGGAAGGAAAUGUUACUCAAAAGCCUUUUGCACUCUUUGAUGCUGGCAGUUUCCAUAGGGGCAACUUCUCCCAUUUUUUUUUCCCUCUGGGUCUCAGUCAUUGCCUUUGGACAAGGGAACAUGGUGUAU